CCAAGUUUUUAAGGGCGCACGGUGGAUGCCUUGGCACCAGGAACCGAUGAAGGACGUGGGAGGCCACGAUAGUCCCCGGGGAGUCGUCAACCAGGCUUUGAUCCGGGGGUUUCCGAAUGGGGAAACCCGGCAGUCGUCAUGGGCUGUCACCCGCUGCUGAACACAUAGGCAGUGUGGAGGGAACGCGGGGAAGUGAAACAUCUCAGUACCCGCAGGAAGAGAAAACAACCGUGAUUCCGGGAGUAGUGGCGAGCGAAACCGGAUGAGGCCAAACCGUAUGCGUGUGAGACCCGGCAGGGGUUGCGUAUACGGGGUUGUGGGAUCUCUCUUUCACGGUCUGCCGGCUGUGAGACGAGUCAGAAACCGUUGAUGUAGGCGAAGGACAUGCGAAAGGUCCGGCGUAGAGGGUAAGACCCCCGUAGUCGAAACGUCAGCGGCUCGUUUGAGAGACACCCAAGUAGCACGGGGCCCGAGAAAUCCCGUGUGAAUCUGGCGGGACCACCCGCUAAGCCUAAAUAUUCCCUGGUGACCGAUAGCGGAUAGUACCGUGAGGGAAUGGUGAAAAGUACCCCGGGAGGGGAGUGAAAUAGUACCUGAAACCGUGUGCCUACAAGCCGUGGGAGCGUCGGAACAAGGCUUGCCUUGUUCUCGUGACUGCGUGCCUUUUGAAGAAUGAGCCUGCGAGUUUGCGGUGUGUUGCGAGGUUAACCCGGGUGGGGAAGCCGUAGCGAAAGCGAGUCCGAAUAGGGCGCUGUAGUAGCACGCUCAAGACCCGAAGCGGAGUGAUCUAGCCAUGGGCAGGUUGAAGCGGAGGUAAGACUUCGUGGAGGACCGAACCCACCAGGGUUGAAAACCUGGGGGAUGACCUGUGGUUAGGGGUGAAAGGCCAAUCAAACUCCGUGAUAGCUGGUUCUCCCCGAAAUGCAUUUAGGUGCAGCGUCGUGUGUUUCUUGCCGGAGGUAGAGCACUGGAUAGGCGAUGGGCCCUACCGGGUUACUGACCUUAGCCAAACUCCGAAUGCCGGUAAGUGAGAGCGCGGCAGUGAGACUGUGGGGGAUAAGCUCCAUGGUCGAGAGGGAAACAGCCCAGAGCAUCGACUAAGGCCCCUAAGCGUACGCUAAGUGGGAAAGGAUGUGGAGUCGCACAGACAACCAGGAGGUUGGCUUAGAAGCAGCCACCCUUGAAAGAGUGCGUAAUAGCUCACUGGUCUAGUGAUUCCGCGCCGACAAUGUAGCGGGGCUCAAGCGUACCGCCGAAGUCGUGUCAUUCACACAAUAGCCCCAACGGGUGUGUGGAUGGGUAGGGGAGCGUCGUCUGCCGGGUGAAGCAGCCGUGUAAGCGAGUUGUGGACGGUUGACGAGUGAGAAUGCAGGCAUGAGUAGCGAUUCACACGUGAGAAACGUGUGCGCCGAUUGACUAAGGGUUCCUGGGUCAAGCUGAUCUGCCCAGGGUAAGUCGGGACCUAAGGCGAGGCCGACAGGCGUAGUCGAUGGAUAACCGGUUGAUAUUCCGGUACCCGCUGUGAAGCGUCAAACAUCGAGCAUCGUGAUGCUAAGGCCGUGAAGCCGCCCCUGAUCUCUUCGGAGUGAGGGGGAGUGGUGGAGCCGCUGAACCAAGCGGUUAGUAGGUGAGUGAUGGGGUGACGCAGGAAGGUAGUCCAGCCCGGGCGGUGGUUGUCCCGGGGUAAGGGUGUAGCCCGUCAUCUAGGUAAAUCCGGAUGACAUGUGGGUGAGACCUGAUGCCGAGCCGAUUGUGGUGAAGUGGAUGAUCCUAUGCUGUCGAGAAAAGCCUCUAGCGAGUUUCAUGGCGGCCCGUACCCUAAACCGACUCAGGUGGUCAGGUAGAGAAUACCGAGGCGUUCGGGUGAACUAUGGUUAAGGAACUCGGCAAAAUGCCCCCGUAACUUCGGGAGAAGGGGGGCCACAUCUGGUGAUGAGCUUCGCGCUCUGAGCUGGGGGUGGCCGCAGAGACCAGCGAGAAGCGACUGUUUACUAAAAACACAGGUCCGUGCGAAGCCGUAAGGCGAUGUAUACGGACUGACGCCUGCCCGGUGCUGGAACGUUAAGGGGACCGGUUAGCUCCAUUUCGGUGGGGCGAAGCUGAGAACUUAAGCGCCAGUAAACGGCGGUGGUAACUAUAACCAUCCUAAGGUAGCGAAAUUCCUUGUCGGGUAAGUUCCGACCUGCACGAAUGGCGUAACGACUUCUCGACUGUCUCAACCAUAGGCCCGGUGAAAUUGCACUACGAGUAAAGAUGCUCGUUUCGCGCAGCAGGACGGAAAGACCCCGGGACCUUUACUACAGUUUGAUAUUGGUGUUCGGUUCGGCUUGUGUAGGAUAGCUGGGAGACUGUGAAGCGCUAACGCCAGUUAGUGUGGAGUCGUCGUUGAAAUACCAGUCUGGUCGUGCUGGAUGUCUAACCUGGGUCCGUGAUCCGGAUCAGGGACAGUGUCUGAUGGGUAGUUUAACUGGGGCGGUUGCCUCCUAAAGGGUAACGGAGGCGCCCAAAGGUUCCCUCAGCCUGGUUGGCAAUCAGGUGUUGAGUGUAAGUGCACAAGGGAGCUUGACUGUGAGACCGACGGGUCGAGCAGGGACGAAAGUCGGGACUAGUGAUCCGGCGGUGGCUUGUGGAAGCGCCGUCGCUCAACGGAUAAAAGGUACCCCGGGGAUAACAGGCUGAUCUUCCCCAAGAGUCCAUAUCGACGGGAUGGUUUGGCACCUCGAUGUCGGCUCGUCGCAUCCUGGGGCUGGAGUCGGUCCCAAGGGUUGGGCUGUUCGCCCAUUAAAGCGGUACGCGAGCUGGGUUUAGAACGUCGUGAGACAGUUCGGUCCCUAUCCGCUGUGCGCGUAGGAGUCUUGAGAAGGGCUGUCCCUAGUACGAGAGGACCGGGACGGACGAACCUCUGGUGUGCCAGUUGUUCUGCCAAGGGCAUGGCUGGUUGGCUACGUUCGGGAGGGAUAACCGCUGAAAGCAUCUAAGCGGGAAGCCUGCUUCGAGAUGAGGACUCCCACCCACUUGAUGGGGUAAGGCUCCCAGUAGACGACUGGGUUGAUAGGCCGGAUCUGGAAGCACGGUAACGUGUGGAGGUGACCAGUACUAAUAGGCCGAGGGCUUGUCCUC
This 3120-nucleotide ribosomal RNA is filed under the name Streptomyces chartreusis NRRL 3882. RNAcentral's name for it is "bacterial LSU rRNA". It matches the Rfam family "Bacterial large subunit ribosomal RNA". The record is from RNAcentral. Lineage: Bacteria; Bacillati; Actinomycetota; Actinomycetes; Kitasatosporales; Streptomycetaceae.